CGGUCUCAUAUGAGUAAAUAAAUAAAUAAAUAACAUGAAGUGGGUGAAAUGAUAGUAGAAGAUAUGGUGUGGAGGUUGAAGCAGUAUAGGGUAGGGACAAAAAGAAGGGUUUAUAAGAGAUGGGAGAAAAUGGUUUUGAGAGAGGAGGGAAGGGGAAAAGAGAAUGAGGUAGAAAGAGGAAAGAAGGAGGAGAUAGAGAACGAGAAAGAGAGAACGAGAGAAACCGAGAGAAAGAGAGAGAGCGAGAGAAUGAGGGAGAGCAAGAGAGAGAUCAAGAGGAGGAGAGAGAGAGGGAAAG
Molecule: long non-coding RNA, 298 nt
Filed under: Amborella trichopoda
Lineage: Eukaryota; Viridiplantae; Streptophyta; Magnoliopsida; Amborellales; Amborellaceae
Description: long non-coding RNA (ATRI_LNC002399)
Source: RNAcentral